GAUGAACGCUGGCGGCGUGCCUAAUACAUGCAAGUCGAGCGAACGGACGAUAAGCUUGCUUCUCUGAUGUUAGCGGCGGACGGGUGAGUAACACGUGGAUAACCUACCUAUAAGACUGGGAUAACUUCGUGAAACCGGAGCUACUACCGGAUAAUAUUUCGUACCGCAUGGUUCAAAAGUUAUAGACGGUCUUGCUGUCACUUAUAGAUGGAUCCGCGCUGCAUUAGCUAGUUGGUAAGGUAACGGCUUACCAAGGCAACGAUGCAUAGCCGACCUGAGAGGGUGAUCGGCCACACUGGAACUGAGACACGGUCCAGACUCCUACGGGAGGCAGCAGUAGGGAAUCUUCCGCAAUGGGCGAAAGCCUGACGGAGCAACGCCGCGUGAGUGAUGAAGGUCUUCGGAUCGUAAAACUCUGUUAUUAGGGAAGAACAGAUGUGUAAGUAACUGUGCACAUCUUGACGGUACCUAAUCAGAAAGCAACGGCUAACUACGUG
RNAcentral lists this ribosomal RNA (497 nucleotides) under uncultured bacterium. RNAcentral describes it as "partial 16S ribosomal RNA". It matches the Rfam family "Bacterial small subunit ribosomal RNA", at positions 28 to 507 of the family's 1533-position model. The record is from RNAcentral.